Dermacentor andersoni is the source of this 2974-nucleotide long non-coding RNA. RefSeq lists it as uncharacterized. Lineage: Eukaryota; Metazoa; Arthropoda; Arachnida; Ixodida; Ixodidae. The record is from RefSeq and is a predicted model, not a curated record.
AGUAGGUCGUGGUACGGCCUACUACCAGGGCCCGCACACUCUCAAGUUCAACAAAUGGCCACAGAGGGCGAAAAAAUCGACCGCGCGGCGCUGCUAAAGAAACAGGCAUAGUACACCAAUUAAAAAGGUUCCCCGUUGAGCACAUUAUCUCCCGCUAGAGGCGCCGUAGUAAGCGCAAUUUUAACCUACAAACUUUCUUCAACAGUAAAUAAAGCGUUCUUAUUGCAUGAUAAAGACUACAAAAUUAUAAUUCCUAAUUUUACAUUGUACUUUUUAUUACCAACUUUGUUGUUUUUUGUCAUUUUAAACGCAAAAUAGCGUUCAGCAUCAUCGACCUCCCACGUGACCUCUGGCCUGGAUUUAAAAUUUUUACCGGUAUUUUCGUGUGCGCGGCAGGUACGGAUUCCUUGGUUCGUACAUUGGUUGGUUAUUUUGUGCUAACACCAGUUUACUGCGCUUCGAUGUCUCGCGUUAUUUAAUUUGAGGUGUAAGCCUGAAAGCUAGGUUUCAGUCGUGAGCCAUGUGGAACACGUCUGCAUCGAAAUGGGAGCCGGGUCCUGCUGCAACUGGGGACAGCAAUACCGACAUGCAGUAAUGAGGAUGGCACCAGUAUAAAGCAACACACUCCAUGCACUAAACAGAAGCUGCUGCCUGCUACAACAAGGUCAUUGUGUGGACUUUGGCUGCUACUACAAGAGUCUGUGCCAAGUACAUCUUGGUCAUCACGGGAGCCCCCAUCUACACCAACAGGAAGGGGCUGGAGCUGAAUUCACAAGACCACAAACAAAGAAGCCAUUCCAGAAUUAUUUGGAUGAGAUAUCAAGUCUACGGACGACUGUUUCAAGAGUGAAAAGAGCCUACGCCAUCAUUCCACCAGCAUGGAUAUUGGCAGAGUCAUCCAGGUACCUCAACAACAAAAAUUAUUUGUCUUCAGAUGUACCUGCAACCUCUGAACAAGCACAGAUGACGCUGGCUAAGAGUGUUCUGUCAGCUUGCCCUUCCUUAGUGAGCUUCCUGGCCUUGCUAGUUCUUGCCAAGUAUAAUUUUGUUUCAAUGAAUGCAAGAUUUUUCAUUCCACACUUUUGUUAGAGAUCAUUCCUAUUCCUCAUACAAACAAUAAAGGUCAACCGAUUCUUUGCUCAUACUUAAUGCCAGUCACUGUAUAGUAGCAUAACAUAUGUGUAGCAGUUCUUUCUAGUGUAUGUUGCCAUGUGCAAUUCCUCUCCUGAAAUAGCUGAUGCAGCAUUGGCGUGUGUCUUGCAUUAACCUUUACACUGUGUGCUAUGUAGCUUUUAACUUUUGUUAAUGUUUUUGGCUUUCAAUGCUUGCAAGGUAGAUUGGCUUCUUUCUUGAAUGCAAGCUUUCUCAUUCCCAUAUUGAAUUCCUAGUCUCAUUCAGGAUUGCUAUUCUUGCUCGACAGCCUGUGUUUUUGUGCAAGCUACAUUGAAGUGAUUGAUUGCAGAAUCUGGUUUCGGCGCUGUCCAACUUGGUACUUGUCACCGUGUUACGUUUCUCAUAUGUGGGAGCCUGGUCAGUUGCAUUGGGAAACAGUCUCUCGAGGCAAGCACCUGCUCCUACAGUCCGCACAGUGACAUAGACUGCGAAUUUACACGCACACCGUGGUUGGUGCUCCCCGUUCCGUCCUUUCCUGCUGCUGCCGUGUGCAAAUUUUGCUUGUGGUCUUCCUCGGCCAUGAUUUGGUGUCAACGGAGACUCUCAUACAUAAUUACAUGGUUCUAAGUGCAUGAAGUUGAUAUCCACAUGUGUGGAAAGGCCUGCAAAAGUGACUGCAAAAUAGUGAUGUUCACAAAACCGACCAUGCCCAUAUAUAGAGAAUGUGGGGGACCAAGUGUGAGUUACACAUUAGUGGCAUGCAAAAGAACAAAACGAAACAUGCAGGUUGGAAAGGCGGUAACGCUAAAAUGCCGGGCACUCCAUGUCACUGUUGGCUGUGGCAGCAGAUGCUUGCGUCACCCGAUUGCUUCGCAAUGCAAGCUGCUCAUAUUCAACGCCGACUGUCAGUGCAAACAUGUGGGACACACUGUCCAAUCUGCUUGCGCUGCUGGUUGUUGCUCGUUACCAGACUGCAGUGUGCGACGAAGGCAAGCACUAUGCCUACAGUCGGACGGUUGAAUGUGCCACAAGCAACCCAUGUGCGUGUAUGCUCACUGUUGUCAUGUAGAUCGUAGCCAAUGCAUAGUGCCAAUGUAUAGAUUGAGCAUUAUGUUAGAGUAUGCUGAAGUGAUUUGAUUGCAUAAUCUUGUUUCAAUGUUGUCCCACUUGGUCAUGGUUGCCGUGUUACAUUUCUGGGAUGUGGCAGCCUGUUCAGUUGCAUUGGCCAACGGCCUCUCGAGGUAAGCACCUGCUCCUGCAGUCCGCACAGUGACACAAACUCCCUGUUUACAUGUACUGCUAUUGGUGCUCCCUGUUUGUCCUUUUCUGCUGCAGCCAUGGCUAAAGUGUGCUUGUGGCCUUCUUUGGCCGUGAUUUGGCGUGAACAGAGACUAUCAUACAUGAUUACAUGGUUUGAAGUGUAUGAAGUUGAUAUCCACAUGGGUGUAAAGGCCUGUAAAAGUGGCUGCGAAAUGGCGAUUCCCACAAAACAGACCACAUCCAUAUUGAGAGCAGGUGGGGCACCAAGUGUGAGCAACACAUUAGUGGCCACCGAAAGAACAAAAAGAAACGUGCAUGUAGGAAAGGAGGUAACACUAGGAUGCCGGGCAGUUCAUGUCGCUGUGUUGGCUAUGGCAGCAGGUGCCUGCAUCACCCGAUUGAUUCGCAGUACAAGUUACGGUGACUGUCAGUGUAAACAGGUGGGGCACUGACCAAUCUGCUUGUGCUGCUGGUUGUCACUCGUUACUAGACCACCAUGUGCGACGUAGGCAAGCACUGUGCCUGAAGUCGUAUAGCUGAAUAAGCUGUAUGCAAUUUGUAGUGCGUGAAUGCCCACUGUUGUCAUAUGGAUCUUAGCCAA